UGGCUUUCUCCCCCACAUCAUGGGCUAUGUGAUUGAGCAAUGGGCUCAGUGCCUCCUCUCAUGUCUGGGGUAAGGCCAUUUUGCCUCAUACAGAGAGGUAGGGUGCGCACUCCUACAGCCUGGGCUGUAGGACAGUAGGACAGAGGGACAGAGGGAGACAGCCUACCUAAGGCUUGGGGAGCAGGCCCAGGACCAGAACUCUUGGGCAGAGUUGGCACCAGGUCUCCAGCAGGUCUGGAUUACAUUCCCUCAGAUCUCAGGCACCUCAGAGCACGGGUCCGAGACUGGCUUCUGCAAAGUGGACUCUGAUACUUGGAAGGCAGAGGGGUUUCUAGCACUGGGUUGGGGACAUUAGAUUGGGAUAGUUCCAACACCUUUGGAAGGACCUUGGGCUCAGCAACUACAGCUGCCUGGGAGGCUCAUGAGGACUCCAACCCAGCCCCAGAAGCCACAUGGGUGGCCCUGGCUUAGACUGCAUUUCCGUAAAUGUCUGUGUGAAGAUGUCAGAUUCCCUAGAAUUGGAGUUACAGACAGUUGUGAGCUGCCAUGUAGAUGCUGGGAAUUGAACCCUGGUCCUCUGGAAGAGCAGCCAGUGCUCUUAACUGCUGAGCCAUCUCUCCAGCUAGACCACAUCUCCAAAUCCAGCAAAAGUGACUACUCGGAGCGCAGCUCAGCUGGCUGUGUGACUCAGUCAUGGCCUGGAUGGAGUGCCAGCAGAGAAAAUAGUCUUCAAACCCUUCAGAAGAACAGGUCCCAUCUUCCAGCCUGGAUCUCCUGUCUGCAAGCGCCUCCCACCCUGGACUCUGCUUCCACACCAACUCUGGUCCUUGCCCAGGCAGCCUUCCCUGUGCCCAAGUUAUGUAAGUGCCUGCCCUCCUCUAGCCUAGCACCUGACCCUCUGGCCUCUCUACCCUAAAGUGAAGUUCCUGUUUGGUGGCCCCUGGUAUGAGUAUUUUUUCAUAGGUCAAUGUGACUGAGCAGGAAAGUUGGCAAACAUCCACAAUAUUCUAGCAAAAAUAGAAUCAGGAAGCAGGGAGAAAGCUGUAAGGCCACAGAACUCCAUCCCCUGCCCCACCCAGGUAAGGUGCCUCCUGGGUGGGCUGCCCCUUCCCUAACCACAGGGUCCUGUUCUCAGCAGCUACAGUUUCUCUGAAGGAGAACCCAGCUACCCUUCUCCAGCCUCACACUUGUUUCUGAAUGAAGAACAAAUGGGCAAGGCCUAAGAGCCCUCAAGGUGUGGCCCCAGGGCCCAAGCACCCUCAUCCUACCAGUUUCUUGUGACCUGUGGAGAGACUAUGAUGUGUACACAGUCAGACCUAUCAGGUAACUCAGGCUUCUCGAGUAUGGUAGGUAGAAGGUAACUCAGGCGAGACCUCAGCUGGCUGUGUUUUUGUACCCUUUUUGAGGAACUCCCAGGGCCUCAAGGCCUACAUUAGUGGCUACGCUAGGAGGUUGUCCUGGUAUUGGUGAUGCUACCAGCCAUGGGGCUCUGCUCUGUAGCCACGAGAAACCACAGGAAUUGCAUAGAAAAAAAAAAGCCACAGGUUAACUGAGGAGCCAGGACAGAUAAGGUAGUAGUGGGCUAGGACUCUGGGCUGGGGCCUCACAGCCACUACGGCAAUUCUGUUCCCUACCCUAGUCAGGCCCUGCUGAUGUCUGGUGACAAGUCAGAAGGCAAGAGACUUAGCCUGGAACACCUAGUAGCCCCGGACCCUAAGCAAGAAGAACUUGCCUUCUUCCCCACUACUUGCAUUCCUCCCCCUCAAGGAAGAGAACUUGGUGUCUAUUCUGCUCUUCAGUGAGAAGGGCUAAGGAGGCUGUCCUGGCUGGUCCCUGGUCCCCUUGUUGAGUGUCCCACGUGUCCUUGAGAAGCAGAGUCACUGCUCAUUCCUGAAGCAGCCACGCCAGGCUCCCAAGGACAAGUCCAUACGCUGCGUUGGAUCUCUAGAGCCUAGUGGUUUCUGCCUCCCGUGAUCCUGCCUCUGUGAAGGCAGAGGCCCCUGAGGAGGCCCAAACUCAUAAUACCUAUGCAGCAGGCACGGUGAGGGGCAGAACCUGCAGGCAAGAGGCCACAGGAGAAGGUAGUGUCAAGCUCUCCAGUGCCAACCUGGAAAGGCUGUAGGAAUUCUAGCCUGCCUCUGAUCAGGGAGCCCAUACAGGAAGGCCAACUCGGGCUUCAGAGGCUGGGAGCCUUCAGGACAAGAGGACCACUUUAGAAAAUUCGCCCUCUGACCUUGGGGUCCUCCAGCUGGAGCCCUGUACCCCCAGCUUCCUACCCAACAGUAUGAAGAGAGCUUGUGGUGACAGGAAGGAGGCUGAGAAACUUCAGGGACAUAGGCUUGAGGGAGAGAGGCCACAGCCACAGCAUUAUCAUGACGACAGGUAAAUAGCCUUGUAAGCCUCAGUUCUGAUAUGACCGUUUGGCCCCACUUUCCAGCCCAACCUGACCUGAGGUGAAUAGUGGCCACUCAUAGUUGCUCCUUUCUCUGGGCCUCAGCUCCACACGGGAGAGACACACUCCUGAGAGCAUCAUGGGAAGACGCUUCCAAGGAGCUUGGCAUAGUGGUUAGUGCCAUACAGGAUUGAUUGUCAGAUUUCAUGACUCCCAUCUCAUCCCACAGACCCACGGGUCUUUGCAUUUGCCUGAGGGUCCAUCUUCUAUCUAUGCCACGAUGGCAGUAUGGGGCCUUUCCAUCUACAAAGCGGGCUAGGUCCCUCUGUGUCUUGUCCUGAAUAGCAGAGAGCAGGAAGUCUCCAGAUAGCCUGGUGGCGGCGCCUCCACAUUCCUUCACAUUUUGUCCUACAGCACCAAGCUCCAGUCUAACUGUCCAUCCAUUCACUGGUCAGUUGUCUGUAAGCCACAAGCUACCGUCGAAGCCCUAACCACUCCUCCAGCAGAUGCUGCAGUGAGGGCUCUGUCGCACACACUCGGUCGUGCACCCUGUGUCUCAGGCAAAAGAACAACAAGAAAACAAACAACCAAACCCAGCUGUUUUGUUUUGCUUCUGUAAUGGAUGGCAACGAUCAGAUGCAGACUGCCCGCCUGGGAAAGCACAAAGAUCAGGGGCUGAGGAUCUAACACUCCCCAGGCUCCCCCCCUUGCCUGUGAUGUCUGCCUCAGGCCUGCUCAACAACCUCCCUCCACACCACCCCCACAACAGUGGGCCAGCACCAGGGCGGGAGGCGUUGGGAGUAUUGACGGUAUUGGGCGAUCAUUGCUGUAUUUAUAGGGUU
Apodemus sylvaticus (European woodmouse) is the source of this 3234-nucleotide long non-coding RNA. RefSeq lists it as uncharacterized. The record is from RefSeq and is a predicted model, not a curated record. The transcript is spliced from 3 exons. Lineage: Eukaryota; Metazoa; Chordata; Mammalia; Rodentia; Muridae.